This 1455-nucleotide long non-coding RNA is filed under the name Equus caballus (horse). Its description in RNAcentral is "lncRNA (ENSECAG00000045397.1)". Lineage: Eukaryota; Metazoa; Chordata; Mammalia; Perissodactyla; Equidae. The record is from RNAcentral.
CCCAGGGGAAGAAGAAGGAAAAAAAAAAAAAAAGCAACAGACCCAGCAAACUGUGCUUACCGGUAUUUAUAAGCAUUUUGCUCCACUGCAAUUUACACUGACAGUUGAUUAACCGAAAGCUCUGCUAAUUCUGCGGCUCCAGAAGCCAUGCCUAUAAUACACACAAGACUUUGUUUCAAAUCAGUUUUUCAGUUGAGGAGGAAUUCAAACUCAGGAAAAGAAGAGGAAUUUACAUUUGACCACAAAGACCGGAGAGGUCUUUGCACACGUUUCUUAAGGGAAAGACAUUUAGGAACUUGGAAACGUUUAUGCCCUAUAAUCAUAGAAUGUGAGGAGCAGCCAGGCGUCUCUGAGGCCAGCAAGGUUAAUGACAUGAUUUUGGAGAUGAGAAAAUUGAGGCCAGAGAAAUCAAAUGACUCAUCCACAUCUGGGACAGGCCAAAGCAGGCACAGGGAUAAAGAACAACUGUUGAGAGAUGGAACUUGCAGCCCAGAUCCUUGGCCGGAGCGUCCCAGCGCUCUGCUUCAUCCAGUCCCAGCUGAUCAGAGUUUCAGCAAAGAGAGAACAUGCUUUCUUAACGGUACACAUGUUCGCUGAGAGUGGAGGAGGGGGGAUGAAGGAGAAGCAAGUUUUCCAUCUGAAAAGAACAUGAGCAUCUGCCUAGCAAUGAACUUCCCUGCUCUUGAACUUGUCAAUUCUUUUCCACCUCUUCAUUCAACACAAUUCAAAAGGCAUAACCUGAAAAAGGGCAUGAUGGAAAGAAGUACUGAGAUCCACUAAAGAAAAGGCACAAUAGUUAAUCAUCUCUUCUCUGGCAUCCUUCCUUCAACCCUACAAAAUAAACAAGUUGAGAAGUUCUUCAAUUUCUGUGACUGUAAGCGAUGUGGUGAAUUAAUGUUCCUAAAUGCUAGCACUGGGUAAAUGAAUUCAUUGUUGAGAAAGUUCUGGAUGAGCCAGUAGCCAAGUUAUUAAUUCCAUUAUAUAUCCUUGUUUGUGUCUGCUCUGGGAUAGAGAUGAGAGAGGAACAUUGUCAUGAAGAAACCCAUUAAAUAUACCUGCCUUUGUAAAAUCUUGCAUCUCAAACUAAAGUUGUACUAUGCUUUUCUUAAAGAACCCAAAAUUCUCAGUGGCCCUACCAAGAUAGGCAAUAAGUUUCUCAAAAAUCACAUUGGCACAUAGGUGCUUACAACUACUCAAUGAAUUUUUAACCAAUACGUAUCCACCUGGAAUUAAACCAAGAUGGACUCAUUAGAAGAGCUGUCAGGAUCGCUACCCAACAUGGUAACUCUCAGGACAGACAGUGGGAAGUCUCUAAAUGUCCCUUUGCAGGGCUUUCAAAGGGCUCAAUUCAGGUGUGGGAAACCUGUCUUUAAUAUUUUCAUUGCUGCUCCCAAUGUACUUCCAAUGUUAUUAAUUCACGUGCAGCAUUUCAUUAAAUGGGAUCCUCUUUGCAAA